Molecule: long non-coding RNA, 408 nt
Filed under: Anas platyrhynchos platyrhynchos (common mallard)
Lineage: Eukaryota; Metazoa; Chordata; Aves; Anseriformes; Anatidae
Description: lncRNA (ENSAPLG00000026949.1)
Source: RNAcentral
UUUUUUUUAAUCCCACAGUGUUUUUGUUUUGAUCACGCACCCUGAACUUCUGCAAUGAAUAGGGGAAGAGGCCUAUGAAAUUUUGUUUACAAUACAACUCCAUUCAUUAUGCCAUACAGACUGAGUCCCAAACUCAGACCAUCCUGCGUUAUGAGUGAGGAACAGAUUCAGUGGAAGCUGCAGAGACUGUACUUCCCAAGACUGAGUACUGGGUACUCUCAAAUGGCUGAAGCAUUGGAUUUGAACUCACCCCAGGCAGAAGAUUUACCAGCUAGGAACCCAGCACUACAAUGAGUUCCACAGUAACCAGAAAUAUUAUUAUAUCUCUCCAGGUCUGUCAGUGAGGUAUGAUUAGGGCCUGUCUGCAGACCUAGAUAUGCAAAACAUACUAAAAAAGUACAAUUAUUG